UACGGAGGGUGCAAGCGUUAUCCGGAUUUACUGGGUUUAAAGGGUGUGUAGGCGGACUUUUAAGUCAGGGGUGAAAUCCCGAGGCUCAACCUCGGAACUGCCUUUGAUACUAUUAGUCUUGAAUUAUGUUGAGGUUGGCGGAAUAUAACAUGUAGCGGUGAAAUGCAUAGAUAUGUUAUAGAACACCGAUUGCGAAGGCAGCUGGCUAAACAUAUAUUGACGCUGAGGCACGAAAGCGUGGGUAGCGAACAGGAUUAGAUACCCUGGUAGUCCACGCCCUAAACGAUGAUUACUCGUCAUUUGUGAUACACAAUAAGUGACCAAGCGAAAGCGUUAAGUAAUCCACCUGGGAAGUACGUCCGCAAGGAUGAA
This 372-nucleotide ribosomal RNA is filed under the name uncultured bacterium. Its description in RNAcentral is "bacterial SSU rRNA". It matches the Rfam family "Bacterial small subunit ribosomal RNA", at positions 524 to 898 of the family's 1533-position model. The record is from RNAcentral.